UCGCAUCCGCCAAUCGGUCCAGCCGUGUCGCGGAAGGUUUCUUAAACCAGCUAGUGCUUCCUGCAGGGAAGUGAAGGUCAGCG
Molecule: regulatory RNA element, 83 nt
Organism: Variovorax sp. PAMC 28711
Lineage: Bacteria; Pseudomonadati; Pseudomonadota; Betaproteobacteria; Burkholderiales; Comamonadaceae
Rfam family: SucA RNA motif
Source: Rfam